GCUGGUUUGGCUCAGUGGAUAGAGCGUCAGUCUGCAGACUGAAGGGUUCCGGGUUCGAUUCCGGUCAAGGGCA
This is a non-coding RNA of Myotis davidii, 73 nucleotides long. The record is from Rfam. NCBI's taxonomy places the organism in Eukaryota, Metazoa, Chordata, Mammalia, Chiroptera, Vespertilionidae.